Long non-coding RNA from Ostrea edulis (European flat oyster), 900 nucleotides. RefSeq lists it as uncharacterized. NCBI's taxonomy places the organism in Eukaryota, Metazoa, Mollusca, Bivalvia, Ostreida, Ostreidae. The record is from RefSeq and is a predicted model, not a curated record. The transcript is spliced from 2 exons.
UCUUUAGUAACACCUUGGAGAUAAUGAUGGCAAAGCGUGAAUAUUUAAAUAACCAGCUCAGGCGUCAGCAACAGCGAUUUCAUUGGCUAACAAAAAGGUCACUCUGACGUAACACCCGAACGGGAUGUUGUUAGAAUGAAAUGAUCUAAUUUUAAUUAGAUGAAUAUGAAUGCUGCAUCGAUAUUAGGAAAUUGAUUAAUUGAACUUUUGGACGUUUGUUUUAAAGGUCUGGGAAUUAUCAUUAAAUCAUAAACGCAAAUUGACAUCAAUGAAAGAAAAUAUCUGAUGCUCUUUUGGGGGAAAGAAAACUUCAGACAAUUUCUGUGACACUGCGCAUGCUUAUCGGCUUCCGAUCUAUGUUUUGUUUGUCCGCAGAUGUCGCUAACAUAAAGAUGAUGCGUUAAGACUUCUCACUUCAUUUAAAGUUUGCGGAGAAGCUGUGGUUCCGGUGUUCGGCGUGCUUCUUAUCAAAAAGUGUCAAUGAAGGACCAGUGGUAAUGGGAUAUUGGCAGUGUUUCAGUGUGUUGUUUGAACGAGGAUUUUAUUGUUAGAGAGUUUCCUGGUAUGGCGCCCACGCUUAAAGCAGUACAUGCAACAAUCAUCACUGUGACGCAGGUGUUUUAUGUGCCUGCACAUCCUUAUUCUGGCUUACUCCAUCACCACUUAGUGGCGUAGUGAACAGAAAAUAGACCUGCACGUCAAUUAAGAAGGGGGUCAAAGGGCCGUUUUGACGACAACAGUGAGUCCAGGACAAAUCCCUGGUGGGAGCCCAGAUGGUGAAGCCCCCGCAAGCUCCUGAAUUCUGACAGUUUGAAAGAAAAGAAUUUAACUCCUGAAAUGCAUGCAAGACUAUUUGGUUCAUUAUACUACAAAUUUAGCUAUUAAAUCACGUCCACGAAA